This 253-nucleotide ribosomal RNA is filed under the name uncultured bacterium. Its description in RNAcentral is "partial 16S ribosomal RNA". It matches the Rfam family "Bacterial small subunit ribosomal RNA", at positions 524 to 776 of the family's 1533-position model. The record is from RNAcentral.
UACGAAGGGGGCUAGCGUUGUUCGGAAUCACUGGGCGUAAAGCGCACGUAGGCGGAUCUUUAAGUCAGAGGUGAAAUCCCAAGGCUCAACCUUGGAACUGCCUUUGAUACUGGGGAUCUUGAGUCCGGGAGAGGUGAGUGGAACUGCUAGUGUAGAGGUGGAAUUCGUAGAUAUUAGGAAGAACACCAGUGGCGAAGGCGGCUCACUGGUCCGGUACUGACGCUGAGGUGCGAAAGCGUGGGGAGCAAACAGG